CGCUACCGGCGCUCGCGAGAAAAUUUUUCAGUAUCUCUCGAGACACGAAAUGGGUAGGCCGCCGCCGCGGUGAGCCGGGCAGCGCAGGACGAAUGCAAGCUACUAGUCCAAGUCCAGAAUAGUUCCUUCGUGACACCACUAGCAAGGGACCAAGAUGGGGUCCCAGCAGUUCUGCCUCAAGUGGAACAAUCACCAGUCGAACAUGCUGGUCGUGUUCGAGCAGCUACUGUCCAACGAGGCGCUGGUGGACGUGACGCUGGCCUGCGAGGGCCACUCUCUCAAGGCGCACAGGAUGGUGCUGUCCGCCUGCAGCCCUUUCUUCCAGGCGCUGUUCGUCGAAAAUCCCUGCCAGCACCCGAUCGUGAUCCUCAAGGACAUGCGCUACAUGGAUCUCAAGGCCAUCGUGGAGUUCAUGUACAAGGGCGAGGUGAACGUCUCCCAGGACCAGCUGUCUGCCCUACUGAAGACUGCCGAGGCGCUGAAGGUCAAGGGACUCGCCGAGGUGACUGGGGACAACCGACACGGCGUUGUCAGUGUGGAUGGUGCCGACUCUAGGACUAUAAGCACGGCACGCGCGGAGUCGCCCACCAUGUCCAAACGGAAGCGGGGAAGGCCCCGAAGACGCUCGCGCAGCGACUCCAAGAGUGACUCUGAUGACCAGGGCGCACCUCCUGCGAUCCGCAUCAAGACGCCAGAGUCGCCAGAGAUCAUUGAGGACGGCAGUCUGUCGAGUGACCGGGUUACAGCUGUGGCCGCAGAGUCUCCGGCGACGAGAACAUUAUCGUCGGUAGCUGCCACAUUGACAGCAGCGUCUUCGUGCGCGGUGGCGGCACCUAGUAACAAAGUGGCGGCAGGACUUUCUGCGACAGCGGCGAACAACUCAAUGUCGUCGCAGCAUACAAUGGACUCUGUGGGGGACGACACGGGGGCAGACGACGCGGACUUCGAGGUGGAGCCCUCAAACCUCUUGGAACAGUCGAUGACGACCGAAAACGUACCGGUAUUUGCGGCCGUCGCAUCAUCAUCAUCAUCACAAGCGGCGGAGUCUCAACAGUCUCAUCCCAAGGCGUCUGCAUCCGACAUCCCUGCAUUAGUUCAUGUUCCUGCCUCAUUGCCUUCAGACAUCUCCAUCUCCAGUCAGCUCGACAUCAAGCCAUCGCCAUCUAGUUUAAUUCCUCCAUUCGAAGAGCAGGCUCUCUCCCCCGCGGUUCCCCCGCAGCCGUCGGGUUCUGGGUCUGGGGACGGUUCGUCAGGCGCCAUGAUGAUGGCGUUCACGGACAUGUCGGGCGUGCCGGCCAUCGCGGGACCUUCCAGCUACCACCCGGACAACCAGCAGUCUACACCUUCCCAUGGUAGGUAUUCUCACCCUUCCCCCUCCCCCUCGGCUCCCACAACCCCUGAAAGGGCCGCCCGAUUCCUUCCCUCAACUCUGCAUUGCCUAUUGUGCAAAGUCGGUUGCGGUGACAGAUCGGUGCAGGCCGCGUUUUUCCACCGCUGCUAGGUUACCCGGCCUCUGGAUUUGCCAAUGUUUGAAAGAUGGAAAGAGAUAAACAAAAGCGGGGAAAACCUUGCAGCAGUGGCAUACGCUCCCAUUUGUUAGGGUUUCUGUUAGGAUGUCUCGGUAAACUCUGGAUAGGGUGUUACUGGAUGUGUAUGCUUGGAAUCUGUAUCUGUGCACUCACUGUAUUACACGAAAAGUAAAGGACUUUUGCUCAUGUCUCCUUUAUUACUUGUGUCUGGUGUCUUGCGUGAUUUACUCGUCUGCGCACGUUCGCGUUGUCAAGUCGUCGCAAGUGGUCCUGGCUGGGUGUCCGCCGACGAAGACUGCUUUGGCUGUUUUCUCGCGUCGCGCCGUGCUCGGUUUUGGUGCCUGGUUGGACUUCGAGGCGACUUCUCUACAAGCCAGGGAGACUCCAAUUUCAUCUGCUAGCGCGGUGGCUCCACUGCAAGCAACAACUGUCUGCUAUCGCGGGCUCGACUCCCAACGGUCGCGUCGCGUUUUCCCGUUCGCGUGUCGGCGGCACCCGAAGAUUUCGCUCCGUGGUGAGUAUAUCUUCCUUUCAUUCUUUACCUGGUAAAAAUCUAAAAGAAUUGUGUAGUUCUUUUUUUUUUAAAUCUAUGUAGGCUUAAAUUUUUAUGGUUUUGAUUAGGUCAUUUUUGAGCGUGCGCUGAAAUUUGUGCUGUAAACAAUUUCAAUGAAUUAAAAUGGUCUCCCUAUGCUUUGUCUUCUGUGAAUUACUGCUGUGUGAAUGAAGACAUGGUGCAAGCGAGUUGCCUGGGACGAGUGCUUGUGAGGGCCAUUGAGCGGCUGGUGUGUGACUGGAGGGGACAUGAGUCACUGUCGUUUGCACCAAAUCCACGUCACUACAUGCUGGGGUUCACCCUCGUGGACAUCGGGAACAAGUUAAGGGGUCAUUCUGGUAACCUUCUACACUACAUGUGCUCAAAUGUAAGGGGACACAGUGGGCAACACUAACACUACACGUGGGGUGGUGGGUGGGGUACUAACGUUCUUAGGGAUGGGUUUUUUCUGUGGGGUUGGGUCUCUGCAGCAGCGUCGGUUGUGCUGUCCUGGCGGCCUGUCCGGUGUUCCUGUGGUCCUACUGAAUUCGGUAAGAAUUUGUGGCUUGUGUUAGCACGAUUUCCGACACUGACCAGGUCCUUGUGGUCUCGUUUCAGGGUAUUCAAGGCCUCCCCUAGGUUUCAAGCCUCCCCCAGGUUUCAAGCUCAACAUGAGUCUGGGUCUUCUGAAGCAGCUUGCAGUGAUGGAAGCUCUUGCCUGUACUCGAUCUGGCUCCAUUAGUAGAAUUUGGUCUUAAAUUCUCCCCUUCUGGUUUCUCUCUUGUCAUGAGCCAAAUUAUAUCCUAGGCAUUGUAUAAUUGUAGGGAGCUUUUGAUGUGGAGGCCAGGUGCCUUGUUUGAGACCCGAUUAUGUAAUAAACGGGUUUGAUUUUCAUUGAC
RNA transcript from Ixodes scapularis (black-legged tick), 2960 nucleotides. It is a transcript of the gene named protein bric-a-brac 2-like, with no coding region annotated. NCBI's taxonomy places the organism in Eukaryota, Metazoa, Arthropoda, Arachnida, Ixodida, Ixodidae. The record is from RefSeq and is a predicted model, not a curated record. The transcript has 4 exons.